UACGGAGGGUGCGAGCGUUAUCCGGAAUUACUGGGUUUAAAGGGUGCGUAGGCGGCGUAGUAAGUCAGGAGUGAAAGUUUGCGGCUCAACCGUAAAAUUGCUUUUGAUACUGCAUAGCUAGAAUUAGGAUGAGGUUAGCGGAAUGUGGCAUGUAGCGGUGAAAUGCAUAGAUAUGCCAUAGAACACCAAUUGCGAAGGCAGCUGGCUAGACCUGGAUUGACGCUGAGGCACGAAAGCGUGGGGAGCGAACAGG
RNAcentral lists this ribosomal RNA (253 nucleotides) under uncultured bacterium. RNAcentral's name for it is "partial 16S ribosomal RNA". It matches the Rfam family "Bacterial small subunit ribosomal RNA", at positions 524 to 776 of the family's 1533-position model. The record is from RNAcentral.